RNAcentral lists this long non-coding RNA (244 nucleotides) under Ananas comosus (pineapple). Its description in RNAcentral is "long non-coding RNA (ACOM_LNC032809)". Lineage: Eukaryota; Viridiplantae; Streptophyta; Magnoliopsida; Poales; Bromeliaceae. The record is from RNAcentral.
UCAUUUUCCGAAAAGUAACCGAAAUAGCUGUAGGAGCUGUUGUUCUCUUGUAUCACCGCUGUUAGUGCGAGGUGGAUACCGAGACUAGUGUAGGUUGAGAUUACGCUCGUGCUGAGAGGGCGAACUCGUUUUACAGUAGAGUGUAGACUGUUUUGUACUGUUGGGUGCCGUUGUAGUUGAUGGUGGAUCAAGAUUUUUGUAUCUUGCAUCAGAUUGUGUCAAGGGCACGUAAGCUUUGGUUGUU